This 212-nucleotide small nuclear RNA is filed under the name Larimichthys crocea (large yellow croaker). RNAcentral describes it as "U2 spliceosomal RNA (ENSLCRG00005001570.1)". It matches the Rfam family "U2 spliceosomal RNA". From Rfam's summary of the family: U2 is a small nuclear RNA (snRNA) component of the spliceosome (involved in pre-mRNA splicing). Complementary binding between U2 snRNA (in an area lying towards the 5' end but 3' to hairpin I) and the branchpoint sequence (BPS) of the intron results the bulging out of an unpaired adenosine, on the BPS, which initiates a nucleophilic attack at the intronic 5' splice site, thus starting the first of two transesterification reactions that mediate splicing. Lineage: Eukaryota; Metazoa; Chordata; Actinopteri; Sciaenidae. The record is from RNAcentral.
UUUUCUGUUUGUUGAGUGUUGAAGAAUAAAAAAAAAAAAAAAAAAAAAAAAAAAAAAAAAAAAUCUGUUCUUAUCAGUUUAAUAUCUGAUACGUCCCCUACCCGGGGACCGUAUAUUAAAUUGAUUUUUGGAGCAGGGAGAUGGAAUAGGGGCUUGCUCCGUCCACUCCACGCAUCGACCCGGUUUGCAGAUAUGGGAACGGUGCACCCCCU